This 465-nucleotide ribosomal RNA is filed under the name Vreelandella stevensii. RNAcentral's name for it is "partial 16S ribosomal RNA". It matches the Rfam family "Bacterial small subunit ribosomal RNA", at positions 338 to 795 of the family's 1533-position model. The record is from RNAcentral. Lineage: Bacteria; Pseudomonadati; Pseudomonadota; Gammaproteobacteria; Oceanospirillales; Halomonadaceae.
CCUACGGGUGGCAGCAGUGGGGAAUAUUGGACAAUGGGGGGAACCCUGAUCCAGCCAUGCCGCGUGUGUGAAGAAGGCCCUCGGGUUGUAAAGCACUUUCAGUGAGGAAGAACGCCUGGUGGUUAAUACCCAUCAGGAAAGACAUCACUCACAGAAGAAGCACCGGCUAACUCCGUGCCAGCAGCCGCGGUAAUACGGAGGGUGCGAGCGUUAAUCGGAAUUACUGGGCGUAAAGCGCACGUAGGUGGCUUGAUAAGCCGGUUGUGAAAGCCCCGGGCUCAACCUGGGAACGGCAUCCGGAACUGUCAAGCUAGAGUGCAGGAGAGGAAGGUAGAAUUCCCGGUGUAGCGGUGAAAUGCGUAGAGAUCGGGAGGAAUACCAGUGGCGAAGGCGGCCUUCUGGACUGACACUGACACUGAGGUGCGAAAGCGUGGGUAGCAAACAGGAUUAGAUACCCUAGUAGUC